GGUUAAGCGACUAAGCGUACACGGUGGAUGCCCUGGCAGUCAGAGGCGAUGAAGGGCGUGCUAAUCUGCGAUAAGCGCCGGUAAGGUGAUAUGAACCGUUAUAACCGGCGAUACCCGAAUGGGGAAACCCAGUGUGACUCGUCACACUAUCAUUAACUGAAUCCAUAGGUUAAUGAGGCGAACCGGGGGAACUGAAACAUCUAAGUACCCCGAGGAAAAGAAAUCAACCGAGAUUCCCCCAGUAGCGGCGAGCGAACGGGGAGGAGCCCAGAGCCUGAAUCAGCAUGUGUGUUAGUGGAAGCGUCUGGAAAGGCGCGCGAUACAGGGUGACAGCCCCGUACACAAAAGCGCAUGUGCUGUGAGCUCGAUGAGUAGGGCGGGACACGUGGUAUCCUGUCUGAAUAUGGGGGGACCAUCCUCCAAGGCUAAAUACUCCUGACUGACCGAUAGUGAACCAGUACCGUGAGGGAAAGGCGAAAAGAACCCCGGCGAGGGGAGUGAAAAAGAACCUGAAACCGUGUACGUACAAGCAGUGGGAGCACAGGUUUACCUGUGUGACUGCGUACCUUUUGUAUAAUGGGUCAGCGACUUAUAUUCUGUAGCAAGGUUAACCGAAUAGGGGAGCCGGAGGGAAACCGAGUCUUAACCGGGCGUUAAGUUGCAGGGUAUAGACCCGAAACCCGGUGAUCUAGCCAUGGGCAGGUUGAAGGUUGGGUAACACUAACUGGAGGACCGAACCGACUAAUGUUGAAAAAUUAGCGGAUGACCUGUGGCUGGGGGUGAAAGGCCAAUCAAACCGGGAGAUAGCUGGUUCUCCCCGAAAGCUAUUUAGGUAGCGCCUCGUGAAUUCAUCUCCGGGGGUAGAGCACUGUUUCGGCUAGGGGGCCAUCCCGGCUUACCAACCCGAUGCAAACUGCGAAUACCGGAGAAUGUUAUCACGGGAGACACACGGCGGGUGCUAACGUCCGUCGUGAAGAGGGAAACAACCCAGACCGCCAGCUAAGGUCCCAAAGUCAUGGUUAAGUGGGAAACGAUGUGGGAAGGCCCAGACAGCCAGGAUGUUGGCUUAGAAGCAGCCAUCAUUUAAAGAAAGCGUAAUAGCUCACUGGUCGAGUCGGCCUGCGCGGAAGAUGUAACGGGGCUAAACCAUGCACCGAAGCUGCGGCAGCGACGCUGAUGCGUUGUUGGGUAGGGGAGCGUUCUGUAAGCCUGUGAAGGUGGCCUGUGAGGGUUGCUGGAGGUAUCAGAAGUGCGAAUGCUGACAUAAGUAACGAUAAAGCGGGUGAAAAGCCCGCUCGCCGGAAGACCAAGGGUUCCUGUCCAACGUUAAUCGGGGCAGGGUGAGUCGACCCCUAAGGCGAGGCCGAAAGGCGUAGUCGAUGGGAAACGGGUUAAUAUUCCCGUACUUGGUGUUACUGCGAAGGGGGGACGGAGAAGGCUAUGUUGGCCGGGCGACGGUUGUCCCGGUUUAAGCGUGUAGGUGUGUGUUCCAGGUAAAUCCGGUUCACUUUAACACUGAGGCGUGAUGACGAGGCACUACGGUGCUGAAGCAACAAAUGCCCUGCUUCCAGGAAAAGCCUCUAAGCAUCAGGUAACAUCAAAUCGUACCCCAAACCGACACAGGUGGUCAGGUAGAGAAUACCAAGGCGCUUGAGAGAACUCGGGUGAAGGAACUAGGCAAAAUGGUGCCGUAACUUCGGGAGAAGGCACGCUGACACGUAGGUGAAGUGAUUUACUCACGGAGCUGAAGUCAGUCGAAGAUACCAGCUGGCUGCAACUGUUUAUUAAAAACACAGCACUGUGCAAACACGAAAGUGGACGUAUACGGUGUGACGCCUGCCCGGUGCCGGAAGGUUAAUUGAUGGGGUCAGCGCAAGCGAAGCUCCUGAUCGAAGCCCCGGUAAACGGCGGCCGUAACUAUAACGGUCCUAAGGUAGCGAAAUUCCUUGUCGGGUAAGUUCCGACCUGCACGAAUGGCGUAAUGAUGGCCAGGCUGUCUCCACCCGAGACUCAGUGAAAUUGAACUCGCUGUGAAGAUGCAGUGUACCCGCGGCAAGACGGAAAGACCCCGUGAACCUUUACUAUAGCUUGACACUGAACAUUGAGCCUUGAUGUGUAGGAUAGGUGGGAGGCUUUGAAGUGUGGACGCCAGUCUGCAUGGAGCCGACCUUGAAAUACCACCCUUUAAUGUUUGAUGUUCUAACGUGGACCCGUAAUCCGGGUUGCGGACAGUGUCUGGUGGGUAGUUUGACUGGGGCGGUCUCCUCCUAAAGAGUAACGGAGGAGCACGAAGGUUGGCUAAUCCUGGUCGGACAUCAGGAGGUUAGUGCAAUGGCAUAAGCCAGCUUGACUGCGAGCGUGACGGCGCGAGCAGGUGCGAAAGCAGGUCAUAGUGAUCCGGUGGUUCUGAAUGGAAGGGCCAUCGCUCAACGGAUAAAAGGUACUCCGGGGAUAACAGGCUGAUACCGCCCAAGAGUUCAUAUCGACGGCGGUGUUUGGCACCUCGAUGUCGGCUCAUCACAUCCUGGGGCUGAAGUAGGUCCCAAGGGUAUGGCUGUUCGCCAUUUAAAGUGGUACGCGAGCUGGGUUUAGAACGUCGUGAGACAGUUCGGUCCCUAUCUGCCGUGGGCGCUGGAGAACUGAGGGGGGCUGCUCCUAGUACGAGAGGACCGGAGUGGACGCAUCACUGGUGUUCGGGUUGUCAUGCCAAUGGCACUGCCCGGUAGCUAAAUGCGGAAGAGAUAAGUGCUGAAAGCAUCUAAGCACGAAACUUGCCCCGAGAUGAGUUCUCCCUGAGACUUAAAGUCUCCUGAAGGAACGUUGAAGACGACGACGUUGAUAGGCCGGGUGUGUAAGCGCAGCGAUGCGUUGAGCUAACCGGUACUAAUGAACCGUGAGGCUUAACCUU
RNAcentral lists this ribosomal RNA (2908 nucleotides) under Salmonella enterica. RNAcentral describes it as "23S ribosomal RNA". It matches the Rfam family "Bacterial large subunit ribosomal RNA". The record is from RNAcentral. RNAcentral also lists the same sequence under 1 other name. Lineage: Bacteria; Pseudomonadati; Pseudomonadota; Gammaproteobacteria; Enterobacterales; Enterobacteriaceae.